AUUGAACGCUGGCGGCAGGCCUAACACAUGCAAGUCGAACGAGUGGCGGACGGGUGAGUAAUGUCUGGGAAACUGCCUGAUGGAGGGGGAUAACUACUGGAAACGGUAGCUAAUACCGCAUACCAUCGGAUGUGCCCAUAUGGGAUUAGCUUGUUGGUGGGGUAACGGCUCACCAAGGCGACGAUCCCUAGCUGGUCUGAGAGGAGUACCAGACAAAUGGGAAUGUAGACAAGGUCAAGACUCCUACGGGAGGCAGAAGUGGGGAAUAGUGCACAAGGGGCGCAAGCCUGAUGCAGCCAUGCCGCGUGUAUGAAGAAGGCCUUCGGGUUGUAAAGUACGUUCAGCGGGGAGGCGUUACCCGCAGAAGAAGCACCGGCUAACUCCGUGCCAGCAGCCGCGGUAAUAC
RNAcentral lists this ribosomal RNA (406 nucleotides) under uncultured bacterium. Its description in RNAcentral is "partial 16S ribosomal RNA". It matches the Rfam family "Bacterial small subunit ribosomal RNA", at positions 30 to 526 of the family's 1533-position model. The record is from RNAcentral.